RNAcentral lists this ribosomal RNA (279 nucleotides) under uncultured bacterium. RNAcentral describes it as "partial 16S ribosomal RNA". It matches the Rfam family "Bacterial small subunit ribosomal RNA", at positions 506 to 784 of the family's 1533-position model. The record is from RNAcentral.
UGCCAGCCGCCGCGGUAAGACGGAGGGGGCUAGCGUUGUUCAGAAUUACUGGGCGUAAAGCGCGCGUAGGCGGCCUGUCGAGUCGGGCGUGAAAGCCCGGGGCUCGACCCCGGAGGUGCGUUCGAGACUGGCGGGCUGGAGUCCGGGAGAGGGGAGUGGAAUUCCCAGUGUAGAGGUGAAAUUCGUAGAUAUUGGGAAGAACACCAGUGGCGAAGGCGGCUCCCUGGCUCGAUACUGACGCUGAGGUGCGAAAGUGUGGGGAGCAAACAGGAUUAGAUA